This 124-nucleotide microRNA precursor is filed under the name Gossypium arboreum. RNAcentral describes it as "MIR7502 microRNA precursor family". It matches the Rfam family "MIR7502 microRNA precursor family". Lineage: Eukaryota; Viridiplantae; Streptophyta; Magnoliopsida; Malvales; Malvaceae. The record is from Rfam by way of RNAcentral.
UAUUAAAAAUUUCAUUCAUUUGUAAUGUUAAAAACUAGUUAGUGACAUAUGUAAUGUCAUGUGUAUUUUAUACCGAUGUACAUAAAUCAGUUUUUAACGAUAAAAAUUGAUGAAAUUUUUAAUA